AACGGCCGUACCAUGCUGAAUAUACCGGUUCUCGUUAGAUCACCGAAGUCAAGCAUCAUUGGGCGCGGUCGGUACUUGGGUGGGUGACCACCUGGGAACACCGCGUGCCGUU
This 112-nucleotide ribosomal RNA is filed under the name Caerostris darwini. Lineage: Eukaryota; Metazoa; Arthropoda; Arachnida; Araneae; Araneidae. The record is from RNAcentral.